UUAGUAUAAAGUUAAACUGCUAGCUAAAAGUUUAAAACCAAGAAGGAUAAUUUUAACAGGAGAUAUGAACGAAAGAAUUGAACCAUGAUAAAACGCGACAUGCACUACAAAUUGAAGGUAUGAAAUUAAGUUAAAUGAAAGCUCGUUUAUUCACCAUAUGAUGCUCGUUAUAAGGUAAUCAUACAGGCUAGAUACCUUGAGUUAACGAGGUCGUUUACAUGCACGUGAGUGCACGGAUAUCGGUUAAUUAUUCAAAUUACUGAAAAACACGGAGAAAACCGCAACCGCAUCGUCAUGUGUUUUUCUAAGAUGUAUGCAAACAGGGGAAAUAUCGCCAAACCCACAAUUAAUUUGACCAAAACCUCACAUAUCAUCAUUUGUAUGCACAGAUUGGAUGCAUUGUGUGUUGUAAGCUUUUCGUGGCGCUAGAUGUCAGACAGAUGCAAAUGGCAAAUACAUACGAAAGUGUAAAACGUGUAUGGCGAACAUUUGUUUUUUUCUGUCAUUAUAGAUGCUAGUUUGGUGAAAGUUCACACUGAGUGCUUCAAAUCAUUCAGAAGAGAUGCUGUUUUUAGGGCAGUUUAUUAAAGAAGACCUGACAUGGAUGACUUCCAAUGAGAAACGACUGCUAAUACUUAUAUAAAUUCAUUACAGAAGGACCCUACCAGGCUAUAUUUGAAUACGGCAUACCCAUGAAUUCUGGAACUGUUAUUCCUUAACCCAGUUUGGAGGAUAAGAGCUUACCAACUAGUUAUAAAUAUGCUGAGGUGAUGUAUUGCAAAAUAGCCAACAUACAACAAUAUGGAUGACCCUCUGUCUGGUCAACAGGAGUUUAAAUAUGGACGGGACAGUGAUGUGGCAGCUCUUCCCUGGCUCAUUCACCUCUUGCCUUUCAUUUGUGAAAGGAAGAAAGAAGAAAGAAGAAAGAGGGUCAAUGUGCAACUGAAGCUACUGAUUGUGCUGUGUGAUGAGCAUCAAUCCAUGCUUUGAGGGGGAUGAAUCAGCACAGCCCUGCCUGCACUGCAUUGGGAACAGAAGUUGCAUCCAGAAUUUUUGCAUCAUUCUGGACCAAAAAGCCAUUCCCUCCAUGAUGAAGACCACUGAUGCAGCCUUCCGCUACAUCAUGAGUAAAACAACUACAGAACUAAAUACCAGGUUGGAACGUAUUUAAGAAAAAUGAAACGUCUUUUUAAUUGAAAUGUCUGUUUUGUUAUGGAAAAAUCUUUAGUAUUGUGAAGGAUAAGCAUUUCUGCCUGCCAGUAAGGUAAUUGCAGUGUAUUUUAAUGUUCAAGUUUUGAGUAGGGUGGCUAAUUUUUUUUAAACUCUCAUUUGAUAUAUUAAAGACCUUAUAAUAAGUGGUUUUCAUGUCACUGCGCUGUGGUAUAAGAUAACUUUCAUUAUUCCAUACUGUAUUCUGUAUUCUAAUUGUAGCUGAGGUAUUUAAAUAAGCAGUGUUAAAUGCAAAGUGUUGUGUGUAUCAAUGUAAAUAUUAAAUGUGAUGUACUUUAAUAAAAAGAGGUUUUGCAAUAUUUCUUGUCAUUUGUCUUUUAU
This is a non-coding RNA of Paramisgurnus dabryanus, 1551 nucleotides long. The record is from RefSeq and is a predicted model, not a curated record. Lineage: Eukaryota; Metazoa; Chordata; Actinopteri; Cypriniformes; Cobitidae.